GCAAAUUAUGUUUGGACCGGCC
This 22-nucleotide non-coding RNA is filed under the name Arabidopsis thaliana (thale cress). The record is from RNAcentral. Lineage: Eukaryota; Viridiplantae; Streptophyta; Magnoliopsida; Brassicales; Brassicaceae.